UUAAGCAUAUCAAUAAGCGGAGGAAAAGAAACCAACAGGGAUUGCCCUAGUAACGGCGAGUGAAGCGGCAACAGCUCAAAUUUGAAAUCUGGCGCAAGCCCGAGUUGUAAUUUGUAGAGGAUGUUUCUGGCGACGUGCCUUCCGAGUUCCCUGGAACGGGACGCCAUAGAGGGUGAGAGCCCCGUACGGUUGGAUGCCUAGCCUCUGUGAAACUCCUUCGACGAGUCGAGUAGUUUGGGAAUGCUGCUCUAAAUGGGAGGUAUACGUCUUCUAAAGCUAAAUACCGGCCAGAGACCGAUAGCGCACAAGUAGAGUGAUCGAAAGAUGAAAAGCACUUUGAAAAGAGGGUUAAAAAGUACGUGAAAUUGUUGAAAGGGAAGCGUUUAUGACCAGACUUGGGCAGGUUGAUCAUCCGUGGUUCUCCGCGGUGCACUCUGCCUGCCCAGGCCAGCAUCAGUUCGCCCCGGGGGAUAAAGGUUUCGGGAAUGUGGCUCCUCCGGGAGUGUUAUAGCCCGUUGCGUAAUACCCUGAGGUGGACUGAGGUUCGCGCACUGCAAGGAUGCUGGCGUAAUGGUCAUCAACGACCCGUCUUGAAACACGGACCAAGGAGUCGUCUUCGUAUGCGAGUGUUCGGGUGUCAAACCCCUACGCGUAAUGAAAGUGAACGUAGGAGAGAGCUUCGGCGCAUCUCCGACCGAUCCUGAUGUUCUCGGAUGGAUUUGAGUAAGAGCAUACGGAGCCGGACCCGAAAGAAGGUGAACUAUGCCUGUAUAGGGUGAAGCCAGAGGAAACUCUGGUGGAGGCUCGCAGCGGUUCUGACGUGCAAAUCGAUCGUCAAAUAUGGGCAUGGGGGCGAAAGACUAAUCGAACCUUCUAGUAGCUGGUUUCCGCCGAAGU
Molecule: ribosomal RNA, 897 nt
Filed under: Clonostachys ralfsii
Lineage: Eukaryota; Fungi; Ascomycota; Sordariomycetes; Hypocreales; Bionectriaceae
Description: LSU rRNA
Rfam family: Eukaryotic large subunit ribosomal RNA
Source: RNAcentral